GACGAACGCUGGCGGCGUGCUUAACACAUGCAAGUCGAACGGAAAGGCCCUGCUUUUGUGGGGUGCUCGAGUGGCGAACGGGUGAGUAACACGUGAGUAACCUGCCCUUGACUUUGGGAUAACUUCAGGAAACUGGGGCUAAUACCGGAUAGGAGCUCCUGCUGCAUGGUGGGGGUUGGAAAGUUUCGGCGGUUGGGGAUGGACUCGCGGCUUAUCAGCUUGUUGGUGGGGUAGUGGCUUACCAAGGCUUUGACGGGUAGCCGGCCUGGGGGGGUGACCGGGCCACAUGGGGCCGGGAUGCGGGCCCAGACGCCUCCGGGGGGGAGAGGGGGGAAUUUUGGACAAAGGGGCGGAGGCUGGUGCAACAAACCCGGGGGGGGGGAGGACGCCUUUGGGGUGUAAAACCGCUUUCGCUGGUGAGGAGGGGGAGGGGAGGGUAAUGGGAAAAGAAGCACGGGUAAACUACGG
This 468-nucleotide ribosomal RNA is filed under the name uncultured bacterium. RNAcentral's name for it is "partial 16S ribosomal RNA". It matches the Rfam family "Bacterial small subunit ribosomal RNA", at positions 28 to 506 of the family's 1533-position model. The record is from RNAcentral.